Molecule: ribosomal RNA, 1234 nt
Filed under: metagenome
Description: bacterial LSU rRNA
Rfam family: Bacterial large subunit ribosomal RNA
Source: RNAcentral
UGAAUACGAGACGCUAAGGCGUCGAAGUAGUGUAUGUCAUACUUCCAAGAAAAGCUUGCACUGUCAUAGAUAAAAAACGCCUGUACCAUAACCGACACAGGUGGGUAGGUAGAGUAUACUAAGGGGCGCGAGAUAACUCUCUCUAAGGAACUCGGCAAAAUAACUCCGUAACUUCGGGAGAAGGAGUGCCUUAUUCUUAAGGUUGCAAUAACAAGAUCCAAGCAACUGUUUAUCAAAAACACAGGUCUCCGCUAAGUCGUAAGACGAUGUAUGGGGGCUGACGCCUGCCCAGUGCCAGAAGGUUAAAGAAGCUGGUUAGCAUUUGCGAAGCUAGUAACUGAAGCCCUGGUGAACGGCGGCCGUAACGAUAACGGUCCUAAGGUAGCGAAAUUCCUUGUCGGGUAAGUUCCGACCCGCACGAAAGGCAUAAUGAUUUGGAUACUGUCUCGGAGAGGGGCUCGGUGAAAUAGACUUGUCUGUGAAGAUGCGGACUACCUGCACCAGGACAGAAAGACCCUAUGAAGCUUUACUGUAACUUGAAAUUGAAAUUGGACUUUAUUCGCGCAGUAUAGGUGGGAGGCGUUGAUUAUAAUCUUGCGGGAUUAUUGGAGCCAUUAGUGAGAUACCACUCUUGUAAUGUUAGAUUUCUAACUUUGAAUCAUUAUCUGGUCAAAGAACAGUUUCAGGCGGGCAGUUUGACUGGGGCGGUCGCCUCCUAAACGGUAACGGAGGCGUACAAAGGUUUCCUCUGAACGGUUAGAAAUCGUAUCUAGAGUGUAAAGGCAUAAGGAAGCUUGACUGUGAGACCUACAAGUCGAGCAGGGACGAAAGUCGGUCUUAGUGAUCUGACGGUACUGAGUGGAAAGGCCGUCACUCAACGGAUAAAAGUUACUCUAGGAUAACAGGCUGAUCUCCCCCAAGAGUUCACAUCGACGGGGAGGUUUGGCACCUCGAUGUCGGCUCAUCGCAUCCUGGGGCGGUAGUACGUCCCAAGGGUUGGGCUGUUCGCCCAUGAAAGCGGUACGCGAGCUGGGUUCAGAACGUCGUGAGACAGUUCGGUCCAUAUCCGGUGUAGGCGUUAGAAUAUUGAGAGGAGCCUUCUUUAGUACGAGAGGACCGAGAAGGACAUACCUCUGGUGUACCAGUUAUCGUGCCAACGGUAAACGCUGGGUAGCUAUGUAUGGAGUGGAUAACCGCUGAAAGCAUCUAAGUGGGAAGCCCACCUCAAGAUAAG